RNAcentral lists this unclassified non-coding RNA (333 nucleotides) under soil metagenome. Its description in RNAcentral is "partial contains 5.8S ribosomal RNA, internal transcribed spacer 2, and large subunit ribosomal RNA". The stretch from base 1 to 120 matches the Rfam family "5.8S ribosomal RNA", at positions 35 to 154 of the family's 154-position model. The record is from RNAcentral.
GAUGAAGAACGUAGCGAAAUGCGAUAAGUAGUGUGAAUUGCAGAAUUCAGUGAAUCAUCGAAUCUUUGAACGCACAUUGCGCCCUUUGGUAUUCCUUAGGGCAUGCCUGUUCGAGCGUCAUUUAAACCUUCAAGCUAAGCUUGGUGUUGGGUGACUGUCCGCUUCACGGCGGACUCGCCUCAAAAUUAUUGGCGGCCGGUACAUUGGCUUCGAGCGCAGCAGAAACGCGAACUCGGGCCCGUCGUAUUGGCUCCCAGAAGCUAUCUUCACAAUUUUGACCUCGGAUCAGGUAGGGAUACCCGCUGAACUUAAGCAUAUCCAAUAAGCGGAGGA